CCUACGGGCGGCAGCAGUGAGGAAUAUUGGUCAAUGGCCGGAAGGCUGAACCAGCGAUGCCGCGUGAAGGUCAGUGCCCUAUGGGCGUUAAACUUCUUUUGUGCGGGAGCAAUAAUGGUCACGUGUGGCCAGACGAGAGUACCGUACGAAUAAGCAUCGGCUAACUCCGUGCCAGCAGCCGCGGUAAUACGUAGGUGGCAAGCGUUGUCCGGAAUUACUGGGUGUAAAGGGAGCGUAGGCGGGAAAGCAAGUUGAAUGUUUAAGGUACGGGCUCAACCUGUACAAGCGUUCAAAACUGUUUAUCUUGAGUGGAGUAGAGGUAAGCGGAAUUCCUAGUGUAGCGGUGAAAUGCGUAAAUAUUAGGAGGAACACCAGUGGCGAAGGCGGCUUACUGGGCUUUAACUGACGCUGAGGCUCGAAGGCGUGGGUAGCAAACAGGAUUAGAUACCCCAGUAGUC
RNAcentral lists this ribosomal RNA (458 nucleotides) under uncultured bacterium. RNAcentral describes it as "partial 16S ribosomal RNA". It matches the Rfam family "Bacterial small subunit ribosomal RNA", at positions 338 to 795 of the family's 1533-position model. The record is from RNAcentral.